Molecule: long non-coding RNA, 667 nt
Filed under: Physcomitrium patens
Lineage: Eukaryota; Viridiplantae; Streptophyta; Bryopsida; Funariales; Funariaceae
Description: long non-coding RNA (PPAT_LNC002972)
Source: RNAcentral
UAGGGUUUGAUUUAGGAUUAGAAUUUGAUUAGGAUUUGAUUUAGGAUUAGGAUUUGGUUUAAGAUUUAGGAUUUGGUUAAGAAUUGAUUUAAGGUUAGUAUUUGGUUAGGAUUUGGUUUUGAUUUAAGGUUAGUAUUUGGUUAGGAUUUGGUUUAGAGUUUAGAAUUUGGUUAGGAUUCGAUUUAGGGUUAGAAUUUGGUUAGGAUUUUAUUUAGGAUAUAGGAUUUGAUUUAGAGUUGUUUAGGAUUUGAUUUAGGAUAUAGGAUUUGAUUUAGAGUUGGUUAAGAUUUGAUUUGGUUUAGGAUUUAGAAUUUGAUUAGGAUUUCAUUUACGAUUAGGAUUUGGUUAGGAUUUGGUUAAGAUUUGAUUUAGGAUUAAGAUUUGGUUAGGAUUUGGUUAAGAUUUGAUUUAGGAUUAAGAUUUAAUUAGAAUUUGGUUUAGAAUUGGUUAGAAUUUGAUUUUAGGUUUAAAGUUUGGUUUAGGAUUUGAUUUAGGAUUUAGGGUUUGAUUUAAGAUUUAAGGUUUGGUUAAGAUUUAAUCAAGAUUUGAUUUAGGAUUUAGGAUUUUAUUUGAGUUUCUUUAGGAUUUAAGAUUUAGUUUGAUUUUGGCCUAAAGUUUGAAUGAAGUCUAAUAGGAUUUCAACUAGGAUUAAAUUAAGAUUGAAUUG